RNAcentral lists this ribosomal RNA (497 nucleotides) under uncultured bacterium. Its description in RNAcentral is "partial 16S ribosomal RNA". It matches the Rfam family "Bacterial small subunit ribosomal RNA", at positions 28 to 507 of the family's 1533-position model. The record is from RNAcentral.
GAUGAACGCUGGCGGCGUGCCUAAUACAUGCGAGUCGAGCGAACAGAUGAGGAGCUUGCUCCUUUGACGUUAGCGGCGGACGGGUGAGUAACACGUGGGUAACCUACCUAUAAGACUGGGAUAACUUCGGGAAACCGGAGCUAAUACCGGAUAACAUUUGGAACCGCAUGGUUCUAAAGUGAAAGAUGGUUUUGCUAUCACUUAUAGAUGGACCCGCGCCGUAUUAGCUAGUUGGUAAGGUAACGGCUUACCAAGGCGACGAUACGUAGCCGACCUGAGAGGGUGAUCGGCCACACUGGAACUGAGACACGGUCCAGACUCCUACGGGAGGCAGCAGUAGGGAAUCUUCCGCAAUGGGCGAAAGCCUGACGGAGCAACGCCGCGUGAGUGAUGAAGGGUUUCGGCUCGUAAAACUCUGUUAUUAGGGAAGAACAAAUGUGUAAGUAACUGUGCACGUCUUGACGGUACCUAAUCAGAAAGCCACGGCUAACUACGUG